GACGAACGCUGGCGGCGUGCCUAAUACAUGCAAGUAGAACGCUGAAGGAGGAGCUUGCUCUUCUGGAUGAGUUGCGAACGGGUGAGUAACGCUUAGGUAACCUGCCUGGUAGCGGGGGAUAACUAUUGGAAACGAUAGCUAAUACCGCAUAAGAGUAGAUGUUGCAUGACAUUUACUUAAAAGGUGCAAUUGCAUCACUACCAGAUGGACCUGCGUUGUAUUAGCUAGUUGGUGGGGUAACGGCUUACCAAGGCGACGAUACAUAGCCGACCUGAGAGGGUGAUCGGCCACACUGGGACUGAGACACGGCCCAGACUCCUAAGGGAGGCAGCAGUAGGGAAUCUUCGGCAAUGGACGGAAGUCUGACCGAGCAACGCCGCGUGAGUGAAGAAGGUUUUCGGAUCGUAAAGCUCUGUUGUAAGAGAAGAACGAGUGUGAGAGUGGAAAGUUCACACUGUGACGGUAUCUUACCAGAAAGGGACGGCUAACUACGUG
This 495-nucleotide ribosomal RNA is filed under the name uncultured bacterium. RNAcentral describes it as "partial 16S ribosomal RNA". It matches the Rfam family "Bacterial small subunit ribosomal RNA", at positions 28 to 507 of the family's 1533-position model. The record is from RNAcentral.